AGUCAAAUCGUGUCCAAGUCCCUUUAAGUGGAUAUUCAUGACAAAUUUAAACUUCCUGUGAAUUAUACACAAAUAAAGAACGUUGAGAAUAAAGCUGUUCGACUCUACUUCAACAUUCAUAAAAUGAUAUUCACGUGCUUCACGUGCUUUAUUUGAAAAACGUCAGGUUAACGACUCAUUUAAAAAACUUGAUCCUUGAUAUUUUACUAGCUUAUAUGUUUUGUUGUGGUGUUUUAUAGUUAUGCAAGAAGUUGAAUUUUAAACUAUGGAACUCUGAAGGUGUUCAGUUUACCAAUGAUUGGCUGGUAAAAUUGCAUAGAAUUCGGAACAUGUGACCUCGCGAAAAAUUAUAAUUGCAUGGUCGGACAUAAAAAGCAGGCAACCUAGAAAAUCAUACAUCAUUUAAUGAUCGGGCCUACAUGUAUUAAAGUCUCAGCAAAAAGGAGAGAAUAAAAAUCCAGGUGUUCAGUUUACCAAUGAUUGGCUGGUAAAAUUGCAUAGAAUUCGGAACAUGUGACCUCGCGAAAAAUUAUAAUUGCAUGGUCGGACAUAAAAAGCAGGCAACCUAGAAAAUCAUACAUCAUUUAAUGAUCGGGCCUACAUGUAUUAAAGUCUCAGCAAAAAGGAGAGAAUAAAAAUCCAGCCCCUUUUGUAAAGAUUAAGAAUGCCUAAACGAAAACCAAGUCAGCCACAGGCCGACGUGCACGUGGAAGUCGAGCCGCGCACCAACCAAGGAAAACGGAAGAGGGAUCGGGCCCCCGGGGAAGUACCACAGACCUUGGAUCUUGUUCUGCUGGAGCAUGCAGAAGGUACUAAUGUGUUGGAUAGUGUUAGCAUAGAAACGUUGGGUAUUACACCAACACCGAUAAACCUCAUUAAAUUUCUUUGGGCCACAAUGUAAGCGAAUCAUUACGAAUGAUAAUUAUUGAAGGGUGUACUAACUACCAUCAAUGAAGAGGCCAAUGCCCAACUUCAUUCAAUCAUGGAAAAGCUAGUAUGAUGAUAUAAUCUGAUGUAACAACAUUUGAUGUGACUUGAUGUGAUUGCUGAAAAUACAAAGAAAAAAAUACUUAAGUUUUGAUGCUAUAAAUAAACAAACAAAACACACUCAGCAUAUGACAAAUAUCACUCGAGGAAAUAUAUGCCCUGUGUUCUUGUAAACAAUAUUUUCACUUAGGCUCUAGUACAUAAGCAAAUAUUACAA
Magallana angulata is the source of this 1204-nucleotide long non-coding RNA. RefSeq lists it as uncharacterized. The record is from RefSeq and is a predicted model, not a curated record. Lineage: Eukaryota; Metazoa; Mollusca; Bivalvia; Ostreida; Ostreidae. The transcript is spliced from 4 exons.